RNAcentral lists this long non-coding RNA (2976 nucleotides) under Hordeum vulgare. Its description in RNAcentral is "long non-coding RNA (HVUL_LNC010215)". Lineage: Eukaryota; Viridiplantae; Streptophyta; Magnoliopsida; Poales; Poaceae. The record is from RNAcentral.
UUCUACUUAUGCUAUCGGAUCCUAGGUUCAUAUACAACUCCUCAUUGGUAAUGGUAUUAAUCAGUCAAAGAAAUCCCAACGCAGUAAAGCCCUUGGGUUCUGUAAGCUGAAGAUCUAAAGAACUGAGCCACUGCACACUUCAUUUACAUUAUUGAGUAGAGUUAUAUCCACACAUCAUCUAAAGUUCUAAACUCAAAGAACAUAUGCUUGACGGGCACAGCUGAGCAAGAGCAGCAUACUGUAACAUAUGCUCAUUAUCAACAUAUGCUACUUUAGUACAUACAAGUUCUUCUGCAACAGCAGCUACAUCUUCGGACUCUUGUUUCUCAGAUGGAAAAGCUUGGCUGUUCUUGCCAUGCAUUGCCUACAAGCCGUUAAAAUCAAUUAGCCCAAUGCAAACGAGCACUGAUAUAUGCAUAAAUGUGGGAGAAACCCUGCGUUGCUCCAUAUAAAAAGUAAAGGAGAAAAUUUAGUCGAUCUAUUCAACCAGAAAGAGAUGCACAGAAAACUACAUCUAUUCAUAAAACAAAAAGGCACAGUUACAGUUAUGCUGUACAUAUCAGGGACAGUUAAUUCAACAUGGAAAAGAUAGACUCUACGGAAAAACAACAAGAAUGAGUAAACACAAGUGAUAUUACGGUCCCUCUAUCUCACCUCCAAAAGUGAAAAGGAAAGUGAGUACAACAAGUUUUACUUUAUAGCACGAAUUUACAUCAUUAUCAUUUGUUUGGAAGAAGAAAUAGCAAGAUCAAGUUUUAGAUUUUUAUCAACUGUUAUUAAUUUCAUGAAAAAGAAAGCAACAGUAUGAAUGGACGACUAAUAGUGGAUGAUCAACAAAGAAGGAUUAAAUAAGAGAAUAGUGUCGAGAGAUACAUAAGCUGAAUGGUAGAUUCAUACCCAUUCACCAGAUCUAGACGCAAUUAACCAUAACCGGAUUAUCUAACGAUUCCAUAUCAUCCUUCUUGCCUGAAAAAAUAGUUUCAUCGGUCAGGUUACAUACAGUAACUUAACAGAUUCAAAGCUAACCCGGAACAAUUUGUACCAUUAUAGACCAUGUCUUGCUCGGUACAUAGUACUUGUGAAAAGAAACACAGACUUGAAAAAUGAAAGAGAAGAUAAUACUUGUGCAUUCCAGAACAUAACAUCACAUGAAAGAUACUGUCUAAAACAGGAACACACAUGCUACAUCUUCUCCCAGCCGGGCAUAAAGGGCGAGAGGAUGAAAGGGGGGCGAGACCGCGAGAGGAUCAAAGGGGGGCGAGGACACAUAGGUGGCAAUGACGUGGUCGAAGGUGUCCGCCAGUACUGAGUAGUCCCACAUGUCAGCCGCCCUUCCCCAUCUCCUCUUUCACAGUUCUCAUAGCUUCCUCCUCUGACCUGUUGCGCCUUUCCCACGAGCGAAGAGGGCGAAAAAUAAAAGGCGCCUCCGCUCCAGUAUCCAACAGUUCAACAGUAAAGCAUAAUUUCAUGAAUAAAUUGGAACGAAAUCAUGGCAAUGGAUCGGAUUUCAGUCAAAAAGGUAGUGGAUGGGAUCCAUCCAUCAAACACGCGCAAUAAUAUUUGCUUGCAAGCCUAUUUUUCCAAAUCAAAUCAUGCAACAAGAGGAAUUCGCUCUGUCUGAUGGAUGAAACAAGAGGCCUUACAAUCCCCGUCGGCUUCAAACCAAAACACAGAAAUUUGAUCCCCACUCGUUCAAUCAAACAUAGGAGAAUUUUGUUCAAUUAUAAUCAAACAGAUCAGAGGAAAUAAGACAAGAAACUUUUGAGAUAUGAGGCCACAAGAUCACCUAUUGUUGAGCAGAUUCUUGAUGGCAAAGCUGAUUGAAUCUUGCAGCGUGCCUCGGCAAACAAUCCAUAGCCUUGCUCGGUGCGACGCCGUCGGGCCCGGCGCUCCGAGGCGUGGCCAAAUCCCGCUCGCGCCAGCAAGCCGCUGGCGAACGCUUUGGAUUCCCUAGGCAUCGCCACGGCAACAACACAGGAGCACGACGCAAGAGGGAGCGACGGCGCCGGCGAUGCCGACGGUCAGGAAGAACGGCGGACACGAUAGGGAGCAAUGGCGUACGGGACGGCUGGUGGAGGUAGAUGGUGAGGCUCCCCAUUGACGGCGGCAUAUGAAUAUCAGUGUAAAUGGUACAAGCGAUGUGGCUGUUACAUUUAUUUGAUCAUUACGCAGUUCAAGCAUUUUACCUAUGGGGAAAACUGAUGGCAUAUUAAAUAUGUAAAUAUGUACUGUUGAUAUUUUGUGUUCUCCUCUAGUUUUUCCUGUAGCCUUUUCCUCUAUCCCUCUCCCUCUCUCUCUAUAUAUAUUAUAUAUUAUAUUAUGUUAUGUUAUGCUGUAACUUUCUACAGGUCGAUAUGUUUAGCUGAUUAUUUUACCCAUUGUGCUAUUUCUUAUGCUUGUCAGCUACAAAUGUUCAUGUUCCAAGCAUCCUCUUCGGAAUAUUUUAUACACAGCAUAUUAUGUGUAACAUGCAUCUUUUUCAGUGAACUGAUAUUGUCAGAGAAUCUGUUUCAGAUGGGGCUUCAGAACCUUAUCAAGGAUCACGAGGUGAAGCUUGAAGAAAAAAGACGAGAUUUUGAAUUAGAGCUGGAGAGUGAGAGGAAAUCCUUCGAGGAAAAGCUGAAACAUAGGGAAGCUGAUUUGGUAAAGAAGGAAAAAGAUCUCAGUUCUCGUGAGAACAUAAUAUCUAAAAGGGAGCAAACAUUAAAUGAAAGCAAGAAAAAGCUGGAAGAUUUGCAGAUUGACCAUGAUACCAAUUCGAAAGCUCUGAAGAAGUGGGAGGAGUCACUGAAUACUGAGAAGGAUAGCUUAUCCGAAGAAAAGCUGCAAGUGGACAAUGAACGAAAACAGGCUGAGAUGUACAGAUCAGAUAUUGAAAGGCUGAAAGCCACAAUUGAAGCUGAAAAGAAGAAAAUUUUAGAAGAACAACUUUAACAUCCCACUUAGUACACAUUUCAAGUAAUGGCAUGAACUUAC